CCUUGACAUACUAAGAACUUUCCAGAGAUGGAUUGGUGCCUUCGGGAACUUAGAUACAGGUGCUGCAUGGCUGUCGUCAGCUCGUGUCGUGAGAUGUUUGGGUUAAGUCCCGCAACGAGCGCAACCCUUUUCAUUAUUUGCCAGCGGGUCAUGCCGGGAACUUUAAGGAUACUGCCAGUGACAAACUGGAGGAAGGCGGGGACGACGUCAAGUCAUCAUGGCCCUUACGGCCAGGGCUACACACGUGCUACAAUGGUCGGUACAAAGGGUUGCUACCUCGCGAGAGGAUGCUAAUCUCAAAAAAGCCGAUCGUAGUCCGGAUCGCAGUCUGCAACUCGACUGCGUGAAGUCGGAAUCGCUAGUAAUCGCGGAUCAGAAUGCCGCGGUGAAUACGUUCCCGGGCCUUGUACACACCGCCCGUCACACCAUGGGAGUUUGUUGCACCAGAAGUAGGUAGUCUAACCGCAAGGAGGACGCUUACCACGGUGUGGCCGAUGACUGGGGUGAAGUCGUAACAAGGUAAGCGUAGAUGA
This 533-nucleotide ribosomal RNA is filed under the name uncultured bacterium. RNAcentral describes it as "bacterial SSU rRNA". It matches the Rfam family "Bacterial small subunit ribosomal RNA", at positions 979 to 1509 of the family's 1533-position model. The record is from RNAcentral.